Molecule: long non-coding RNA, 411 nt
Filed under: Gossypium raimondii (Peruvian cotton)
Lineage: Eukaryota; Viridiplantae; Streptophyta; Magnoliopsida; Malvales; Malvaceae
Description: long non-coding RNA (GRAI_LNC009696)
Source: RNAcentral
AAUCCCUUCGCAAACUGAAUCUUAGUGGAUGCCCAAUGGUCAAAUUUCCAGAAAUCCCAGGAAGCUUAAUAAAAUUAAACUUAUCUGGCACUCAAAUUGAAGAAGUGUCGUUGCCUUUCGACUCUCUAUGUAAUCUUCAGCUUUUAAAUAUGAGUAGCUCAGCGGUCAAAAAUGUAUCGAUCAAAUUGGAAUCCCUUCGUAAACUGAAUCUUAGUGGUUGCCCACUGGUCGAAUUUCCAGAAAUCCCGGGAAGCUUAAUAGAAUUAAACUUAUCUGGCACUCAAAUUGAAGAAGUGUCGUUGCCUUUCGACUCUCUAUGUAAUCUUAAGCACUUAAAUAUGAGUGGCUGAGCGGUCAAACAUGUAUCGAUCAAGUUGGAAUCUCUUCAUUAUCUGGAUCAUAGUGGUUGCC